AAAAAAAAAAAAAAAAAAAAAAAAAAAAAAAAAAAAAAAAAAAAAAAAAAAAAAAAAGGUUUUGAGUUAGGUUAGGUUUUGAGUUAGGUUAGGUUUUGAGUUAGGUUAGGUUUUGAGUUAGGUUAGGUUUUGAGUUAGGUUAGGUUUUGAGUUAGGUUAGGUUUUGAGUUAGGUUAGGUUUUGAGUUAGGUUAGAGUUGGGGCGCUAGGUCGGGUAACCUCCACGAGGGUCUGGGCCAUUCCAAUCUCUGUUAAUCCUUGCGGAUUCGCAGUCAAGGGAAUGGUUCAUGGCUGGUGCGCCCUGGGGGCAACGGUAAGUGAUCUCCUGCGUGGGAUUGCUUACCGGUGUUGCCAAUAACCCGACACCCGGGGUUAACCCGGGGGGG
Cydia splendana is the source of this 385-nucleotide long non-coding RNA. RefSeq lists it as uncharacterized. The record is from RefSeq and is a predicted model, not a curated record. The transcript has 3 exons. Lineage: Eukaryota; Metazoa; Arthropoda; Insecta; Lepidoptera; Tortricidae.